GCAUUGGUGGUUCAGUGGUAGAAUUCUUGCUUUCCAUGUGGGAGACCUAGGUUCGAUUCCUGGCCAACACA
RNAcentral lists this transfer RNA (71 nucleotides) under Loxodonta africana (African savanna elephant). It matches the Rfam family "tRNA". Rfam says of the family: Transfer RNA (tRNA) molecules are approximately 80 nucleotides in length. Their secondary structure includes four short double-helical elements and three loops (D, anti-codon, and T loops). The record is from Rfam by way of RNAcentral. Lineage: Eukaryota; Metazoa; Chordata; Mammalia; Proboscidea; Elephantidae.